Molecule: small nuclear RNA, 107 nt
Filed under: Choloepus hoffmanni (Hoffmann's two-fingered sloth)
Lineage: Eukaryota; Metazoa; Chordata; Mammalia; Pilosa; Megalonychidae
Source: RNAcentral
AUGCUCACUUCAGCAGCACAUAUACUAAAAUUGGAACCACACAGAGAAGAUUAGCACGGCCCCUGAGCAAGGAUAACACGCAAAUUCAUGAAGCGUUCCAUAUUUUU